This 253-nucleotide ribosomal RNA is filed under the name uncultured bacterium. RNAcentral's name for it is "partial 16S ribosomal RNA". It matches the Rfam family "Bacterial small subunit ribosomal RNA", at positions 524 to 776 of the family's 1533-position model. The record is from RNAcentral.
AACGUAGGACGCAAGCGUUAUCCGGAGUUACUGGGCGUAAAGAGCGUGUAGGCGGCUCGAUAAGUCCGCUGUGAAAGUCCAGGGCUCAACCCUGGAAGGCCGGUGGAAACUGUCGGGCUAGAGUCCGGAAGAGGCGAGUGGAAUUCCCGGUGUAGCGGUGAAAUGCGCAGAUAUCGGGAGGAACACCAAUGGCGAAGGCGGCAUCCUGGACCGGCAUUGACGCUGAGGCGCGAAAGCCAGGGGAGCAAACGGG